Neoarius graeffei (lesser salmon catfish) is the source of this 318-nucleotide long non-coding RNA. RefSeq lists it as uncharacterized. Lineage: Eukaryota; Metazoa; Chordata; Actinopteri; Siluriformes; Ariidae. The transcript has 3 exons. The record is from RefSeq and is a predicted model, not a curated record.
GUGGGAUGCUACUGGCCACCCUAUAGUGGCCAAAAAGCUGAGAAGGCCGCCAUGAACUCCAUCCCCCCGGGACAAGGAUGGCAAUUCCACCCAAAAAUCAGGGUGCUGACAACCUGUGCCACCUUUGCCAAAGCCAGGUCUUGCCUCAACCGAUCGCUGGAGGAAGGCUGCCUUACAGCAGACCUGCAGUCUGAUGUCCAAACAAAAGGUAUUUUGAGGAGGACAGCGAGGAGGAGGCACAACCAAGGCGUAAGGGGAGGAGGCCACCAUCUAUUGACGCCACUCAGCUGGACAGCGAGUGGCAAUUCCCCUCCCUUA